RNAcentral lists this long non-coding RNA (582 nucleotides) under Chinchilla lanigera (long-tailed chinchilla). RNAcentral's name for it is "lncRNA (ENSCLAG00000024207.1)". Lineage: Eukaryota; Metazoa; Chordata; Mammalia; Rodentia; Chinchillidae. The record is from RNAcentral.
CUGUCUUGAAGUGUUCUUGAAGGAGUUAAGGGGGAGAAGGCCUGGCCUACAAUACUCACAAUACAUACUUCUCAUUCAGACUAAACUUACACCAUUUUAAAAAAUAUAACCUAUGUGAGAACUUCCUGUUUACAGCAGUCUUAGCUAAAUUAUUCAAGUCACCUCCAUACCCUACCCUUCACAGCUAAAAACAAUGAAAAAGGAUGGACAUAUUUAAAAAUCUCUAGAAAUACUGAAGUUUCUGGAGAUUAAAUAAAAUAAUCCUACAAUAAAAUAGUAAGAAAUUUUCAAGCUAAACACAAAAGGAAAAUGAGAGCCCAUAGAUGAAAUCAAGGAAGAAGCCACUUUAGCCUUGAGGUUAUUUUAGGAUCUCAGAAAAUUAGAAUCUUUCUUUUGUUAGGCUUGAGAACCACAAGAACAAGAACCAAAGUCCAGAGUUUGCUGGAGCUGGGACAUCAAGUCCAUGAGCCCCCUUGCAAUGGACUGAGUGCUCAAAGGGCUACAGCCUGCAGAGGAAGAAUCCAAAAGUUUUCCAAUGUAUUGUCAUUAUUAGGCCCCUUAACCAAAGGUCUGUAUUCAUGA